This 1955-nucleotide long non-coding RNA is filed under the name Prunus dulcis (almond). RNAcentral describes it as "sRNA ncRNA". The record is from RNAcentral. Lineage: Eukaryota; Viridiplantae; Streptophyta; Magnoliopsida; Rosales; Rosaceae.
GCCUUCCCUUAUUAUCGACCCGCAACCGGAAGCGACACUCGGGCGUGCGUAUCUGAGACUUCAUCAAACCAUGGGCGCAAGGCCUUGGGGACUUUCAUCGAACAGCUUGGGGUGGCGCAGCUGCUGGCCAAGGUGUUGCCUGAGACCUCCCCACCCUGAUGGUAAUAUGCUUUAUCUUUGACAAUAUCACUCUCUCUUUCUCAUUGUUUUGUUGAGCUGAGUACGCAAGAAAAUAAUUUUCUUUUAAGUUGUUUCUGUUGAUUUACUAGUUUCAUUAUUUUGUUGUGCAUUUACACUAAAUAAAAUUCCAUUAUUUAAGAACAUGAAGUGGAAAUAAUCAUAUGAAUAGGGUCUCCUUGUUUAUCGUUUUUUUGCCAAUUGAUUUUCUGUAUUGAUUUUUAAGAGAUUUGAAAGUACCCUUAUGGCUGUAAUUAAUUAGUACUCAAAUCUUGAGUCACCUUGCACUUUGUUUCAUUGAAUCACAUCACAUUCUAGAAUAAUCUGUUAUUAAUGUCCUCUGAAACAGGUGCUGAUGUUGUUCUCUGCAUAGAAAAGGCAUUAGCUCAGUCUGGGGUGUCUAGGGAAUAUGUUCGUUACAUCAACGCACAUGCUACAUCCACACCGGCUGGCGGCCCGGAGACCUCAAAGAGUAUAAUGCUCUUAUUCAUUGUUUUGGCCAAAAUCCUGAGGUAACCAAAAUGCAUAACAUGUAUUUUCUGUUUUCUUACUGUCAUGUAUGUAUUCCCAUGCUUGAUAGCAUCUCUACUCUAAUGUUUACAGUUGAGAGUGAACUCCACAAAAUCCAUCAUUGCUCACCUACUUGGAGCAGCUGGUACUGUAGAAGCUGUUGCUCCACUACAGGUAACUUAUGUGAUGUUUUUAUCUUGGAAGUACUGUAUAAUUUGAAGUCUUGUUUGUAAAGACCAGAUACAAACUUAGUAAUUUGAAGUACCUGGAAGUACUUACUUAGUACUGUAUAAUUUGAAGUCUUGUAUGCAAAGACCAAAUUCAACUUAGUUGCUGGUUUAUUCAUGACAUCUGAGAAAAUCAAUUUUGACGACUACCUGCUGGAAUCAGAACUUUCAAGGGACGGGGGUGGGAUUGAAAGGCUUGACAUGUUUGUUCCCAUUUAACCCAUGCCUGCCAAAAUAAAAGUGACAGGUUUGUAUUAGGAGUUUCCUUUCUCCCAAAAAUCACAUGUAACAUUGGAAAAACUCUGGUCGGAUGCCUGAAAUGGACAGGAAUCGUCAUAAUAUUAGUUGUAAAAAAGCAUUCCUUUGAACAGAAAAUUUGGGACACCCUAGCCCUUCUUGGGAAGUACAAAUAAGUCCCUACAUCAAAGUGUCAUUUUUGAUGAUCUGUUCACGUCCACGUUUCUUUUUGGUAGUUUUAGAUGAAUGCCUUGCUGACACUAAUUUUUUCUCUGUAUAAAGUUACAUCCUGCCAAACUUCAUUUUCUGGUCAAUGGUUCAAUCCACAUAUGAUGACAAAGAUUCCAGUGAUGAAGAUGUCGGUGAAGCUUUUGCGGGUGACGAUGACAGUGGAAUGGAUUAUGGGAUUAUGCAGAGCUUGGAGAAACAACAUUUUGAUUUUGCUGAAGUUGGCUUUGCAUUGAACAAAAUGUCAAUCACACCGAAGGAUUCCUUACAUAGUAGGUUUGGUGGUGCAAUAAACCAACCCAUGCGAAUGCCCUCAAGAAUUAGACCGUCAACUAGUCCGGAUUCUUUGUAAAUUGAAAGUGUGUAGCCCCUCUUUACUUUUGUGGAAGAUGCAAACUGCAUACGAACAGACAUUAUGUUGGCCUCAGAGGAUUGUGGCAAGCUGAUGAUGAGCAAGAUGCGUAGUCGUAGACUUCAUUUUCAAGUUUCUUUUAUUUAUACAUUUAUUUAUGUAGGGUAUUAUGGAGCCUUGUUUUUCUGCCCUCAAUGAACUUAAUCAGAACGUGUAGUAUGCCA